RNAcentral lists this small nuclear RNA (278 nucleotides) under Callithrix jacchus (white-tufted-ear marmoset). Its description in RNAcentral is "7SK RNA". It matches the Rfam family "7SK RNA". Rfam says of the family: 7SK was discovered as an abundant small nuclear RNA in the mid-70s but a possible function has only recently been suggested. Two independent studies have found that 7SK RNA binds the CDK9/cyclin T complex (known as elongation factor P-TEFb). Lineage: Eukaryota; Metazoa; Chordata; Mammalia; Primates; Cebidae. The record is from Rfam by way of RNAcentral.
GGAUGUGAGGGCCAUCUCCAGGGUUGAUUCAGCUGUUCUGGCUGGCUAGAUGGGUGUCCCCUUCCUCCCUCACUGCUCCAUGUGUGUUGUUCCUGAAGCUGCAUGCUCGGUUGAAGAGGAAGACCAUCCCCAAUAGAGGAGGACUGGUCUUUGAUCAAGGCUAUAUGAGUAGUUGUGCUCCCCUGCUAGAACCUCCAAGCAAGCUAUCAAGAACUACCUGAGACUGGAUAAUUUAUAAAGAAAAGAAGUUUAGUUGGCUCAUGGUUCUGCAGGCCGUU